GGCAACAUUGGAAAUCGUGUAUGGGUCUUGGCCGGUUUGGCUUGCUGGUGAUUGGAGAGAGAGGGCAGCUGGCUUCUUUGUCGAAUUUUUUCGGCACUUGUCGAAACUGUUCUUGAAAUGAUUGAAUUUUCUAAUAACUCAACUCUUGGACUGAUUCUCUCUUCUCUUGUCCCCAUUGUCAUCAAGCCCCAUCUCAGGUUGACUCCAGGACAAGUUUACGCAACGGAUCACGGCGUGUUUGGUUAUGAAAUAACUUAUGAUUUAACUAACUUAACUAGUUAGUGUUUGGCUGUGAGCAUUUCUGCUUUGGCAUCGUCAGUUGAG
Molecule: small RNA, 324 nt
Filed under: Histoplasma capsulatum
Lineage: Eukaryota; Fungi; Ascomycota; Eurotiomycetes; Onygenales; Ajellomycetaceae
Also listed under: 1 other name
Description: hypothetical RNA
Source: RNAcentral